GGGAAAUCUUACCGGGUCCGGACACACUGAGGAUUGACAGGUGUUUCGUUUUUUAAUUUCAGUGGCUAAAAAGUUUUUAUUGCUUCGGCUUUAGAAGCUUCGCUGAAAGUUUCAAAAAACAUUUCAAAUAUGCUAGUCCUUUCAUGAUUGUGUGAUAGGUGGUGCAUGGCCGUUCUUAGUUCGUGGAGUGAUCUGUCUGCUUAAUUGCGUUUCACUUAUGGCUCGCAUGUGUUUUUAUUAUUUCUGUGACCUUAUUUCUGUUUUACACGGAUUUAUAGCGUCCGGAGUGGUAUUCACGGUGAACCUCGAAGGCAACGA
Molecule: ribosomal RNA, 318 nt
Filed under: Allogromiina sp. A273
Lineage: Eukaryota; Foraminifera; Allogromiidae
Description: partial 18S ribosomal RNA
Rfam family: Eukaryotic small subunit ribosomal RNA
Source: RNAcentral